This 1368-nucleotide long non-coding RNA is filed under the name Felis catus (domestic cat). Its description in RNAcentral is "lncRNA (ENSFCAG00000051275.1)". The record is from RNAcentral. Lineage: Eukaryota; Metazoa; Chordata; Mammalia; Carnivora; Felidae.
AUGCACCCAGACCCACACACAGGCGUGCACACACAAGUGCCCACGCAGGCAUGCACACUCACGCACACACUCGUGCAACACACACGCGUGCAUGCCCACACAUGCACGCACACCUACACACAGGCGUGCACACUCAUGCAGGCACACAAGUGCCCACACGCUCGUGCACGCCCACACACAUGCACACACAAGUGCCCACGCAGGCAUGCACGCUCACACACUCGUGCAACACACACACGCACGCCUACACACACAUGCACACCUACAUAUGGGUGUGCACACUCAUGCAGGCACACAAGCGCCCACAUGCUCAUGCACGCCCACACAUGUGCACACACAAGUGCCCAUGCAGGCAUGCAUGCUCACGCACACACUCGUGCAAUGCACGCGUGCACGCCCACGCAUGCACGCACACCUACACACAGGUGUGCACACUCAUGCAGGCACACAAGUGCCCACACACUCAUGCACACCCACACAGGCGUGCACACACAAGUGCCCACGCAGGCAUGCACACGCACACUCAUGCAACGCACAUGCGUGCAUGCCCACACAUGCACACACACCUACACACGGGUGUGCACACUCAUGCAGGCACACAACUGCCCACACGCUCGUGCACGCCCACACACGUGCACACACAAGUGCCCACGCAGGCAUGCACGCUCACACACUCGUGCAACACACACGUGCACGCCUACACACGCAUGCACACCUACACAUGGGUGUGCACACUCGUGCAGGCACACAAGUGCCCACAUGCUCAUGCAUGCCCACACAUGUGCACACACAAGUGCCCAUGCAGGCAUGCAUGCUCACACACAUGCCCAGGCAUGCACGCACACCUACACACAGGCGUGCACACUCAUGCAGGCACACAAGUGCCCACACACUCAUGCAUGCCCACACAGGCGUGCACACACAAGUGCCCACGCAGGCGCGCACACUCACACACACACUCGUGCAACGCACAUGCACACAGACCCACACACAGGCGUGCACACACAAGUGCCCACGCAGGCGCGCACACUCACACACACACUCGUGCAACGCACAUGCACACAGACCCACACACAGGCGUGCACACACAAGUGCCCAUGCAGGCAUGCACACUCACACACACACUCGUGCAACGCACGCGCCCACACGCCCACACAUGCACACAGACAUGCACACUCACACACACUCGUGCAACGCACGCGUCCACACGCCCACACAUGCACACAGACCUACACACAGGCAUGCACACUCACACACACUCGUGCAACGCACGCACACACGUGCACACCCGCGGGAGCAGUCGGAGGGCAGGAUGUAGGGAACAUCGGCCGCUCGGUUUGCAACCUGGUCCCGCCUCUCCGGGAAUAG